UGAGUAAACCGGGCAGCCGCGGAGGUGCUGAUGCCUUCGAGGAAAGUCCGAGCUUCGCAGGGCAGGGUGCUGGGUAAUACCCAGUGGGGGCGACCUUAAGGAAAGUGCCACAGAAAUAAACCGCCUCUUGUUGGAUGUUGGAUGUUAGAGGUUAGAAGUUGGAUGAACCAGGUUUUUUAGUAAACAGGUUUUUUCUAACCUCCAGCUUCCAGCAUCCAAUAAGGGCAAGGAUGCAACGGUGCGGUAAGAGCGCACCAGCAGCCGGGUGACCGGCUGGCUAGGUAAACCCCACCCGAAGCAAGACUGAAUAGGAGGGAGAUGAAGUUGCCCGCUGAAUCCCUCGGGUAUAAGUCGCUGGAGGUGCCAGGCAACUGGUAUCCAAGAUAGAUGGCUGCUGCUCCGGCAAGGAGAUACAGAACUCGGCUUACAGGUUUGCUCAUAAU
This 443-nucleotide RNase P RNA is filed under the name Bacillota bacterium. Its description in RNAcentral is "RNase P RNA component class A". It matches the Rfam family "Bacterial RNase P class A". From Rfam's summary of the family: Ribonuclease P (RNase P) is a ubiquitous endoribonuclease, found in archaea, bacteria and eukarya as well as chloroplasts and mitochondria. Its best characterised activity is the generation of mature 5'-ends of tRNAs by cleaving the 5'-leader elements of precursor-tRNAs. Cellular RNase Ps are ribonucleoproteins. The record is from RNAcentral. Lineage: Bacteria; Bacillati; Bacillota.